AAUCGACUUAGAAUGUAGGAUGGU
Molecule: microRNA, 24 nt
Filed under: Glycine max (soybean)
Lineage: Eukaryota; Viridiplantae; Streptophyta; Magnoliopsida; Fabales; Fabaceae
Description: gma-miR4342
Source: miRBase by way of RNAcentral